AAAGAAAAGAGAUCUGUAUAUACUAAAAUUGCAGUGAUACAGAGAAGAUUAGUAUGGUCCCUGUGCAAGGAUGACAUGCAAAUUUGUGAAGUUUUCCAUAUUUUG
Fukomys damarensis (Damara mole-rat) is the source of this 105-nucleotide small nuclear RNA. The record is from Ensembl. NCBI's taxonomy places the organism in Eukaryota, Metazoa, Chordata, Mammalia, Rodentia, Bathyergidae.